Molecule: ribosomal RNA, 857 nt
Filed under: Pseudomonas mandelii
Lineage: Bacteria; Pseudomonadati; Pseudomonadota; Gammaproteobacteria; Pseudomonadales; Pseudomonadaceae
Description: bacterial SSU rRNA
Rfam family: Bacterial small subunit ribosomal RNA
Source: RNAcentral
GCGGCAGCACGGGUACUUGUACCUGGUGGCGAGCGGCGGACGGGUGAGUAAUGCCUAGGAAUCUGCCUGGUAGUGGGGGAUAACGCUCGGAAACGGACGCUAAUACCGCAUACGUCCUACGGGAGAAAGCAGGGGACCUUCGGGCCUUGCGCUAUCAAAUGAGCCUAGGUCGGAUUAGCUAGUUGGUGAGGUAAUGGCUCACCAAGGCGACGAUCCGUAACUGGUCUGAAAGGAUGAUCAGUCACACUGGAACUGAGACACGGUCCACACUCCUACGGGAGGCAGCAGUGGGGAAUAUUGGACAAUGGGCGAAAGCCUGAUCCAGCCAUGCCGCGUGUGUGAAGAAGGUCUUCGGAUUGUAAAGCACUUUAAGUUGGGAGGAAGGGCAUUAACCUAAUACGUUAUUGUUUUGACGUUACCGACAGAAUAAGCACCGGCUAACUCUGUGCCAGCAGCCGCGGUAAUACAGAGGGUGCAAGCGUUAAUCGGAAUUACUGGGCGUAAAGCGCGCGUAGGUGGUUUGUUAAGUUGGAUGUGAAAUCCCCGGGCUCAACCUGGGAACUGCAUUCAAAACUGACAAGCUAGAGUAUGGUAGAGGGUGGUGGAAUUUCCUGUGUAGCGGUGAAAUGCGUAUAUAUAGGAAGGAACACCAGUGGCGAAAGCGACCACCUGGACUGAUACUGACACUGAGGUGCGAAAGCGUGGGGAGCAAACAGGAUUACAUACCCUGGUAGUCCACGCCGUAAACGAUGUCAACUAGCCGUUGGGAGCCUUGAGCUCUUAGUGGCGCAGCUAACGCAUUAAAUUGACCGCCUGGGGAGUACGGCCGCAUGGUUAAAACUCAAAUGAAUUGACGG